UGUUAGGGAAGAACAAGUACCGUUAGAAUAGGGUGGUACCUUGACGGUACCUAACCAGAAAGCCACGGCUAACUACGUGCCAGCAGCCGCGGUAAUACGUAGGUGGCAAGCGUUGUCCGGAAUUAUUGGGCGUAAAGGGCUCGCAGGCGGCUUCUUAAGUCUGAUGUGAAAGCCCCCGGCUCAACCGGGGAGGGUCAUUGGAAACUGGGGAACUUGAGUGCAGAAGAGGAGAGUGGAAUUCCACGUGUAGCGGUGAAAUGCGUAGAGAUGUGGAGGAACACCAGUGGCGAAGGCGACUCUCUGGUCUGUAACUGACGCUGAGGAGCGAAAGCGUGGGGAGCGAACAGGAUUAGAUACCCUGGUAGUCCACGCCGUAAACGAUGAGUGCUAAGU
RNAcentral lists this ribosomal RNA (393 nucleotides) under uncultured Bacillus sp. Its description in RNAcentral is "bacterial SSU rRNA". It matches the Rfam family "Bacterial small subunit ribosomal RNA", at positions 434 to 821 of the family's 1533-position model. The record is from RNAcentral. Lineage: Bacteria; Bacillati; Bacillota; Bacilli; Caryophanales; Bacillaceae.